This 416-nucleotide ribosomal RNA is filed under the name Bostrycapulus cf. aculeatus RC. RNAcentral describes it as "partial 28S ribosomal RNA". Lineage: Eukaryota; Metazoa; Mollusca; Gastropoda; Littorinimorpha; Calyptraeidae. The record is from RNAcentral.
AAACCGCCUAGAGGUAAACGGGUGGAUCCGCAAAGUCGGCCCGCGGAAUUCAGCUCGGAAGGCCGUGAGCCUGCGGUGGGUCGGGGAUCUUUNUCGACCCUCCCGCCGCGGGACCUCGCGUCGACCGUGUGCACUUUCCGCGGGCAGAGCGCCACGACCGGUUCUCGGGCGGUCAGAAGGCGGCGGGGAUGGUAGGCGUGCGCUUCGGCGCGCGCUGGUAUAGCCCCGCCUGUCCCGAUCCGCUCGGGGACCGAGGAGCCGCCGCCGGCGUAGGCCGCCUUGCCUUCCCGGGAGGUUCGACUGGCAGAGACUGGGUAACCGUGUCUGCCGACCGCCUCUCGGUGACAGGAUGGGGUGGGCCCGCCGGCACAGGGUCGGUGGCGAAUCGGUCGGCCCUCCACCCGACCCGUCUUGAA